This 327-nucleotide ribosomal RNA is filed under the name uncultured eukaryote. RNAcentral's name for it is "partial 18S ribosomal RNA". It matches the Rfam family "Eukaryotic small subunit ribosomal RNA", at positions 1470 to 1796 of the family's 1831-position model. The record is from RNAcentral.
CCCUUAGAUGUUCUGGGCCGCACGCGCGCUACACUGACGAAUGCAACGAGCUUAUAACCUUGGCCGAAAGGUCUGGGUAAUCUCCAAAUUUCGUCGUGAUGGGGAUAGAUUAUUGCAAUUAUUAAUCUUCAACGAGGAAUGCCUAGUAAGCGCAAGUCAUCAGCUUGCGUUGAUUACGUCCCUGCCCUUUGUACACACCGCCCGUCGCUCCUACCGAUUGAAUGGUCCGGGGAAGCGUUCGGACCGUGGCCUUUGGACGGUUCGCCGUCUGUUGGCUGCGGGAAGUUCGUUAAACCUUAUCAUUUAGAGGAAGGAGAAGUCGUANCA